AAAGUCGUAACAAGGUUUCCGUAGGUGAACCUGCGGAAGGAUCAUUACCAUUACCUCAACAGGCGGGUUUCAGCCGGUGCUUCGGCGCCACUGCUGCCCACCUGCUUGACGUUACCCAUGCCUUUUUGCGUACAGUUUGUUUUCCCAGCCGGGCGUUACUGCCCCUACGGGAUAUCAAUCCACCCAUUGUAUUUGCAGUCCAUGUCUGAAAAAUAAUAAUAAUUACAACUUUUAACAACGGAUCUCUUGGUUCUG
Molecule: unclassified non-coding RNA, 255 nt
Filed under: Ascomycota sp.
Lineage: Eukaryota; Fungi; Ascomycota
Description: partial contains small subunit ribosomal RNA, internal transcribed spacer 1, and 5.8S ribosomal RNA
Rfam family: Eukaryotic small subunit ribosomal RNA (bases 1-47)
Source: RNAcentral